AGUGUGGGAACUGUCCGGGAAGGCAUGUGUGAAAUGCUCCGAGAUGAGGUAUCAUCUUACAGCCAAAACCACCUUAGGGAAAAUACGCUGUGCCGGCAUGUGCUUGUGUCGGGUCCCGCUGUGAAUUGACUGUGGAAAAUACACUCCAGUGUGCCGGCCGCUCCCGUGUCCUUGAUUUAUCAGAAUAGGAUGUGGCUGAUGGGCGGACAUAAAGCAGUCUGAAUGGGAAGCUCCCUCAGAAGCUGGAGAUCCGCCACGCGUCGAAGGCGGCGCAGAGGGAAUCAAAGCUGAAGCCCCUGCACAAAAGCUGAUGACCGGGCUGGAAUCAACAGGAUCCAGGAAGCCUCAUGAUGGAGUAAAUCCAUGUUUGGGAACAAUUGCAGCACGAAAGGUAACUCAGAUGGUGAAAGAGCUUGUCAAACAUUUGCCUCUAUGCUGAGCCAGACGUCACCCCUAUCGGCUUAUCUGGACACCCUUGUGCAUGGAGGGAAUGCUGGCUCUCAUACCUCCAUGCACCAUCAGCAUAAAAACAUAGCACAAGAACUGGGAGACCUCUAGCAUUGGCUCCUCCAAGAAGAAUAUAUACAUACGAUACCUGUCAAAAAAUUGGAAACACCCUCUAAGCCUGUGCAGCUUGUCAACUCUGUGACCUCUGACCAGGCACGGAAUGCGGGUUUCGUGUGACGUGUUCAAGGUUUUGCCAUCUGUGACAUCUUCCUCUCACUGAGGCCUGGUGUCUUUUUCGUGGACAAGUGCCCUCUGUCCACACUCACUGUCCUGGAAAAGAUGCUUAUAAUGUGGUUUGUUUGUUUAUUUUUGGUCCAGUAGGACACUCUAGACC
This is a long non-coding RNA of Hippocampus comes (tiger tail seahorse), 841 nucleotides long. RefSeq lists it as uncharacterized. The record is from RefSeq and is a predicted model, not a curated record. Lineage: Eukaryota; Metazoa; Chordata; Actinopteri; Syngnathiformes; Syngnathidae. The transcript has 5 exons.